ACCCAUCAAUGUCAUUGUAUUAACCCGUUCCGAAAAAACCCACCGCACCACGACCUUUGCCCACCGCACGCACGCACGAACCCCCACACGACGACCUUUCCCACACCCCGCACCUCCUCCUCCCAACGACCAGAGCAUGGUCGGGCCUUCGCCGCCGGCCGCCGCCCGCCCAUCCACGGUCAAGCCUCCGCCGCCGCUCCACGGCCAAGCCUCCGCCGCCGUUUGCAGCCGCCAUGGAAUGCCUGGAUGUCGUCAAGAUGCACGCAGGUGCAGCACCUGCAACGGAACGGAAGACCACCGAUGCUCUGCUCUUGAGACAACAGAUGCACGCAGAGGCUAGAUACAUACAUAGCAAUCGUCAGGCUCCAGUUUUGUACUGACCACUCCAAGGCUUGUUCAACCUGGUGAAUCUUUCCUUCAUCUGCAUCGUUUUUCGCUUCAGUCUGUACAUCCUCGCCCUCCGCACAUCCUCGCCCUCCGCCCGCCGAUCCUAUUCUCCGCCGCCCGCCUUCCUCUGCUCCUCCUCUGCCGCCAACGAUCUCAUCUGAGCCAGUACAGAAUAUUGCCACUCAUCAACAUCUGCAACAUCUAAGGAAAUCAUGUUUAACUAUCAAUAAGUGAUCCCAUUUCUUGGCUCAGUGAAGUGAUUAUGUGGAUCUUGUGAGGAAAACAGAUAGGCCAAUAAGCCUGGGAGGUUGUCUACAGUCACUGGCCUGGUAUGUGACCUGCUUGCAUCUUUUCCUGAUUACCUCACAACUGCAGUUGUCUACGUUUUAUGUUAACCAUCAUUUUAUCAAUUUAAUUCUCGAGUUUGUUUCUCAAGCAAGACAAUCCACCAAAGUAUCACCCACAGUCCCGUGAAGAAAAAUGAGACACACUGUUCUUGCAACUUUCCGUUUUUAGGCCUUGAUGCAUUCCAGUCAGAGAAGGUGAUGGAGACCCUUAGACAGCUUGCAGAAGAUGGGCACACGGUCAUAUGCUCUAUACACCAGCCGAGAGGCUCAGUCUAUAGCAAAUGUGAUGACAUUGUGCUACUCUCAGAGGGAGAAGUUGUAUAUAUGGGGCCGGCAAAAGAAGAACCUCUAAAAUACUUUGCGUCAUUAGGGUACCAAUGCCCAGGUCAUGAGAACCCCGCUGAGUUCUUGGCUGAUCUCAUUUCCACUGAUUAUAGCUCAGCUGAAAGUGUACAGUCAUCACAUAAAAGGAUUGAGAACCUAAUUGAUGAUUUUGCAAAUAAGGUUCUAAUUACUGAAUUUAACAGUCCAGUAACACAGUCGGAGGGCUCUGAAUUUUCUACCAAACCUGCUCAGAAGUCCACUAGCAAGCAAAGACGUGGUUGGUGGAGACAAUUUCGUUUGAUAUUCAAGAGAGCAUGGAUGCAUGUUUUUCACGGAGCCUUGUCUGAUAGUGUCUUCCAGCUUUUUUCCUGCUUCUGCCUUGAAAUUCGUUGAUAGGUUAUUUUGGCGUGUGUGUUUAGCUUAAAAUAAACCGGACCUAUACUGUAGCAAAUUCAGGGGAUCUAUCUUUUCAAUAUUUACUGUAAGUUGACACUUGGUGGCAUGUUGUGCUUUCACCAACUCUGUGGCUGAUGUAGCUGCAACAUGUAACUACUGCAUGAAAUGUGUAAGUAAACCAAGUAAUUUACCUGAGCUUAGCUGCCUGAAAUCUAAAUGGUUGUUUACCUGAAGAUUGACUAUCUAUUAGUUGAUUCUGAGAAGUAUUUCAGGCUUUUUGUGAUGGACCAACAAACAAAGUGAGAGCAAGAAUGUAUGUUACUUCAACAAUUAUAUUUGGAUCAGUGUUCUGGCGAAUGGGGAAAACUCAAACUUCCAUACAAGAUAGGAUGGGACUUCUUCAGGUGGCUGCCAUAAACACAGCAAUGGCUGCUCUGACAAAGACGGUGGGGGUUUUCCCGAAAGAACGAGCUAUAGUUGACAGGAACGUGCAAAGGGUUCCUAUGCACUAGGACCAUAUCUCUCUUCUAAGAUGCUGGCCGAGAUUCCGAUUGGAGCAGCAUUUCCAUUGAUAUUUGGAUCCAUUCUCUAUCCAAUGGCUAAACUUCAUCCUACAGUUUCUAGCCAUUCUUGGAAGAAUGCAACUGCAGCUUAAUUGGAGUUGAACUGGAGGUAACAUUUGGAAUUACUUGGAAGUUGGAACACAAGUGGAGUGUGUUAUGACGAUUGCUCAAAGGAACUUUGGUCAUAUUGCUUGACAACAUGUCAAUCACUCUUCUGCAACUCAGAUAAAAACAAUUUGAAUUAAAAAAAUGCAAAAUCGAGUUUGAGUUGAUAGGGUAUAUAUAAUAUCUGAAAACAAAUAGAAAACAUGCCAGUGUUCCGAGAAUGCAACAUCCCAGUCCACGACAAGAAAAAAUGAUCAGCUAAAUUUCUUGACUCAUAACAAGAGUCAGUGGCUUGCAUUCUCCCAAAUGCUUUGUAUCAUUUGUUGAAAUUCUAGACUCCUUUUAUUCCAUAUUGUUGAUAUCUAUGCAACUAGAGCAGCUAAAUUAUUAAGUGUUUUUUAGUACACCUGAUCAAAAACAGUUGUUGACCUUUUGCGAGUGCACCUUUGCAAAUACUGGUAGAAAGUUGUGCAUCUGUGCCUGCCAAGCUGUAACAGGCAGUGUUCACAGGCUGAUAUAUUUUUUGAUUCGGUGAUUUGAUUGAUCACAACCCGACCAGCACAAUGUAUCUUCUAUGGCUUGCACUUUAUGUCCACAUUUACUAUAGUGAUGGACUAUCUAAUGCUCAGCAAAAUUUCUACAAGAAUACAACUUUCGCUGAAAGCCUAUUCUUAUAUUUGUUUCUAUUCUCAACAUUCAUUUUUAUUUGUGUCCUCACUGCGUUCUUCCUUUCUAGGAAUCAGGUCUAUAUUUUUUUUUACCAUUCAAGGCAUAUGUGCACACAGAAGCCGUUUUGCAUGUAUCUGAAUCUUCCUGUCUGGUACUUGUGCUGGGAAGCAAAAUGUGAAAACAAAAACCAAUACAUCCAGAUUGUGCAUUAUUUUGGUGUGUUUUCAGUUUCCAUAGCUUUUCAUAUGAAUGUGAAUAUACAUGCCAUAUUUUCUAUUGCAAGGUGCCAGAGGACAUGUUGCAGAGAGUAUUACCAAUUACAAUUCAAACUUACUGGAGACAGUUACCACUUGCAAUUCACAUUAUUAUGUAUUUGGUUUGCUCACUCUUUAUCCCCUCGUACUUGUUGAUGGUAUUGCUCAUACUAUACUUUUGGCCAACAUUGCACGCAUGAUUUCUAGCAAAGAACAUGUGUUAUUCUUGUUUAAAUAGGGAACAUGUGACAUUCUUUAUUUUUAUUUGAAUGGGAACAUUUUUCUGUUAAGAACAUUUUGUAAGGCCAUCAAAGAUGCACGUCAAAGGAGUAAGGCCAUGCCCUUUUGGCCGUCCAAUGGAAAGCAACAAAGUGAAACCAUUCUAUGUCCUAAUUUUUUCUUGCUUUAAAUACUCUUAGCUUUAGCUAUAUCAGUCAAUACGUGCACUGAACGAUAUGAUUACUAUGAUUUUUUUUUGAGAAUUUACUAUGAGUCUAUUAUGAAUGGCAUUGAGUGUCAUUGUCGUAUCCUUUUACUGAUUUUUCUUUAUGGUAAUAAUGAUAAAAAAGAAGCAUAUUGUGGUGUAUGAAAUAUUAUCGUACUACAAGAUAAUUUUAUAUUUUUAUACCAUUUCCUCUUUAGUAUACAUGUGUUAGUAACUUUUGAUUGACUUCAAUCAGACACGCAAACUGUAGACUUGGACAUACGGUCACUUGUUACAUACAUUUAUUAAUCUUUAAUAUUAUUUGCACCUUCUUCAUUUGUCCUUGUGAAUUAGUUUUUUCUUCUACUAAAAACACUAUUAUUUAGUGAAACAUGUGUAGAUAAUUUUCGCAAAAAGAAGAAACAUGUGUAGAUUAAAAAAAUUCACAAAAAGAAGAAACAUGUGUAGAUAAAAAAACUAUGUAAAACUAGACAACUAUUUUCAUAAUUAUUUUGUGGCAAUUAAGACGUGUGUUGCACGUGCAAGCUUACUAGUAUAUUUCUAAAGAACUCUCAGAUAAAUACAUGAACAUAUAUCGAGUAAUAGAGCAAGAGUUAAAAGGGUAAUCUCUUGCCAAGAACGCAGUGCUUUGCCUCUGUAAAAUUUUGAGUUUGAAGUACAAAUGCAAUAAUGGUGUACCAUUUUUUAAAAGCGUGAUCCAGCACCAGUAGAGUAGGUAAAUUAGACAAUCUUUUCACACCUUAGCCUAAGUUGCUAGCUUCACACUAUUUCUUAUGAAUAAAGAUUCUGAGAUGGUAUAGAGUAUAAUCCAUGCAGAUAUUCCUGGAAUAACUAACUUGGAAUUGCACUAACUAAAACAGGGAGGAAUUGUUAAUGUAGGAUAAAGUCAAUCCUGGUUCAAAAUUUAACCUGGGCAGAACAAAAGCUAAUGCCUGCUUCUUUUAUUUUGU
Long non-coding RNA from Triticum dicoccoides, 4440 nucleotides. RefSeq lists it as uncharacterized. The record is from RefSeq and is a predicted model, not a curated record. NCBI's taxonomy places the organism in Eukaryota, Viridiplantae, Streptophyta, Magnoliopsida, Poales, Poaceae. The transcript is spliced from 9 exons.